Molecule: ribosomal RNA, 248 nt
Filed under: uncultured bacterium
Lineage: Bacteria
Description: partial 16S ribosomal RNA
Rfam family: Bacterial small subunit ribosomal RNA
Source: RNAcentral
GAUCCUGGCUCAGGACGAACGCUGGCGGCGUGCCUAACACAUGCAAGUCGAACGGAACUGUUUUGAAAGAUUUCUUCGGAAUGAAUUUGAUUUAGUUUAGUGGCGGACGGGUGAGUAACGCGUGAGUAACCUGCCUUCAAGAGGGGGAGUAACAUUCUGAAAAGAAAUGCUAAUACCGCAUGACAUAUCGGAACCACAUGGUUGUGAUAUCAAAGAUUUUAUUCGCUUGAAGAUGGACUCGCGUCCGA